UACGUAGGGGGCAAGCGUUGUCCGGAAUCAUUGGGCGUAAAGAGCGCGUAGGCGGCCCUGUAAGUCCGCUGUGAAAGUCAAGGGCUCAACCCUUGAAUGCCGGUGGAUACUGCAGGGCUAGAGUCCGGAAGAGGCGAGUGGAAUUCCUGGUGUAGCGGUGAAAUGCGCAGAUAUCAGGAGGAACACCGAUGGCGAAGGCAGCUCGCUGGGGUUGCGCCGACGCUGAGACACGAAAGCCAGGGGAGCAAACGGG
Molecule: ribosomal RNA, 253 nt
Filed under: uncultured bacterium
Lineage: Bacteria
Description: partial 16S ribosomal RNA
Rfam family: Bacterial small subunit ribosomal RNA
Source: RNAcentral